AAGAAACAAGAGGAAAAUCAACGCAGGAAGGUUCUCACACAAAGAAGAAGGCUUCACAAGAGACCUGGAUAUUAAAAGCUAGACAGGAGUGGUGGAAGGAACACCCCAAGGCAGAGUCUCAAGGCUCUGAAGUUCGGGAAUGACAGAGACCCGAACUAGAGGCAAGAAUGGUGAUAAGUGACACAUUGGAAGCCUGGGGGCACAACAUCCUGACCUUAUGGCUUCCAAGACCUUCGAGCUGAUGAACCAAAGAGCCACAGAACCCAGGGAUCAAGAUCUCCAUCCACACGACACAGACUCUCUCUCACCCGUA
Zalophus californianus (California sea lion) is the source of this 313-nucleotide long non-coding RNA. RefSeq lists it as uncharacterized. NCBI's taxonomy places the organism in Eukaryota, Metazoa, Chordata, Mammalia, Carnivora, Otariidae. The transcript has 3 exons. The record is from RefSeq and is a predicted model, not a curated record.